AGUGAACGCUGGCGGUAGGCCUAACACAUGCAAGUCGAACGGCAGCACAGUAAGAGCUUGCUCUUACGGGUGGCGAGUGGCGGACGGUUGAGGAAUACAUCGGAUUCUACUUUUUCGUGGGGGAUAACGUAGGGAAACUUAUGCUAAUACCGCAUACGUCCUACGGGUGAAAGCACGGGAUCUUUGGACUUUGUGGGAUUGUAUGAGCCGAUGUCGGAUUAGCUAGUUGGCGGGGUAAAGGCCCACCAAGGCGACGAUCCGUAGCUGGUCUGACAGGAUGAUCCGACACACUGGCACAGAGACACGGCCCAGACUCCGACGGGAGGCAGCAGUGGGGAAUAUUAGACAAUGGGGGCAAGCCUGAUCCAGCCAUACCGCGUGAGUGAAGAAGGCCUUCGGGUUGUAAAGCCCUUUUGUUGGGAAAGAAAAACAGCAGGUUAAUACCCCGCUGUUCUGACGGUACCCAAAGAAUAAGCACCGGCUAACUUCGUG
RNAcentral lists this ribosomal RNA (492 nucleotides) under uncultured bacterium. Its description in RNAcentral is "partial 16S ribosomal RNA". It matches the Rfam family "Bacterial small subunit ribosomal RNA", at positions 29 to 507 of the family's 1533-position model. The record is from RNAcentral.